UAGUCUCGUGUGGCUAAUAUU
This 21-nucleotide non-coding RNA is filed under the name Caenorhabditis elegans. Lineage: Eukaryota; Metazoa; Nematoda; Chromadorea; Rhabditida; Rhabditidae. The record is from RNAcentral.